Non-coding RNA from Struthio camelus australis, 1522 nucleotides. NCBI's taxonomy places the organism in Eukaryota, Metazoa, Chordata, Aves, Struthioniformes, Struthionidae. The record is from RefSeq and is a predicted model, not a curated record.
CUCUCUCUCUUUUUUUUUUUUGCCUUUUGUUAUUUGCACUCGCAUUGUGUUGUUUGUCUCUGAAGCCGCCUCAUGACCAGCAAAGGGAUUUCACCUCGUCCUUGAGAGAGACAGAGAGAGAGAGAAGGGGGAAGGGGGGGGGGAAGAAGAAGAGAGAAGGAAAAAAAAAAAAAGGAAGAGAUCAACCAAAUACCCAUCUCCAGGUCCCUCCCCACAUCGCUACCUCUCCCCCACCCCAGCCAGUGUCUCACUUAGCACCCCACGCCCGGAGGAGACAUUAAAGAGAGCGGCAGGCCAACGAAAUAGGCACGUGGGAGAUUUGGAGGCGUUCAACAUUUCAAUCAUCAUCAACAACAACAAUAGAAUAGGGGCGCCCAGGAGGACUAGAGCCCCGUGUCUGAUGAGAACUGUUUUCUUUGAGAGUCUAGUAUCGCACGCUGUUACAGCCUUCCUCUUGCUGAUGACCGGGUUCCUGUUUGAUCCUGUUUACAAGCUUCCGAAGAUUGAAAAUAACCCCAACCCCUCUGCACUGGUGUUGCAAGCAGAAGAAAACAGCAAGAAGAGAAGUUGAGAACUUAAACUGGGAGACUUGGCAGAUACAUUUUAGGUCAACUUGAGGAUUUGGGUCUAUGUUGUAUGUGGCAACGGUGAGAAGUAGGUUGGGAGGAAUUGCUGUUACUAUAUUACUUCCCCUCCAUAAAAGUCUCAAAAUGAAACCUACUGCUAAACUGAGUGUUCAUAUGCUAAGGUGAUUACUAGUAUAUCUUGGUGGAUUUCAACUGCAAGAACCUCUGGGUUGCCUAAGGAGGAGAUUAGGAUGAUUUUUUAGCACUGAAGAGACUUUGGGGAACUUUCUUUCCUUGUCCCUUUGCAUUGCAUUAAGCAGACGCUCUAGAAGUUAAGAAUCAGUGGAUGACUAUUCCUAGAUGACCCAAGUUAAAACCACGCACAUCCUCCACUGAUAUACUUGUGAGAAUGGGACUGAACAGAAAAUCGGGAAAUGAUAACUGAAGAAGCUGCGUGCAGCAGAAAACAUGCAUGAAAUGUUCUUUUGCAUGUCCUGUUCCAAGAAGCAGAAGCUUUUGUUUUUUCUUUCCUUUAAGUUUCAAUGCAACCAAAAAAAGCUUUUUUGUAAGUAAUCUUCAUGGGUUUGAGGAUCACUUUAGGUAGGAUGAGUGGUUAGCUCUUGCCUAAAUAUUGCGAGCAAUGUAAAUUUUGUGACUCUAAGAAAACAGAAGAGUAGAUCACUGGUCAAAUGUUAUGUCUCCCUAAAAGCAGCACAUUGCUAGGGCAGACAGAUGUGAUGAGAUGGGGAGCAAGAAGGUAGUACUAGAAUCUGAGAGAACUGUUAUAAACCAAGGAAUGCCUUUGGAACAGCCAUCCAAAACUGUAAUCCCAUAGCUUAUAAAACUGUUUCUGAUUUCAUCUUGCCAGUGAGCUAGUUAUAUAUAUAUGUGUAGCUGGAUUCUUUUUUCCUCUUUUGUUUUAUGUCUGAGUGUUCCUGGUUGUUUUCCUGCUAACA